This 253-nucleotide ribosomal RNA is filed under the name uncultured bacterium. RNAcentral's name for it is "partial 16S ribosomal RNA". It matches the Rfam family "Bacterial small subunit ribosomal RNA", at positions 524 to 776 of the family's 1533-position model. The record is from RNAcentral.
GACAGAGGCCCCAAGCGUUAGGCGGAAUCACUGGGCUUAAAGCGUGUGUAGGCGGAUCGUUAAGUGUCUUGUGAAAUCCCACGGCUCACCCGUGGAACUGCUGGGCAUACUGGCGAUCUUGGGCCAACUAGGGGCAGUCGGAACAAGCGGUGGAGCGGUGAAAUGCGUAGAUAUCGCUUGGAACGCCGAAGGUGAAACCAGACUGCUGGGGUUGCGCCGACGCUGAGACACGAAAGCCAGGGGAGCAAACGGG